Molecule: long non-coding RNA, 259 nt
Organism: Micropterus salmoides (largemouth bass)
Lineage: Eukaryota; Metazoa; Chordata; Actinopteri; Centrarchiformes; Centrarchidae
Exons: 2
Source: RefSeq, a predicted model, not a curated record
UCAACCAAGUUCAGUUGCCCUUGAUUUUAACCUUCGUUGGAUAACUAUGACCUGGAUGACUGAGAAUCUUCAUAGACAUCUUUCAUUCCUCCUAAUUGACUUGAUUGAGUUCACCUGUUCACACUAUUUAAGGACUGCACUCCCUUUCACUCACUCUUUCACUUCCACAUGGGGUGGCAGUUCAGAUUGAACAACUUAUGUGUCUCUUAUUUUUCCUGAUUAUGUUGACAAAUGCAGAAAUAAAAUGUUGUUCAAAGGA